Platichthys flesus (European flounder) is the source of this 3255-nucleotide long non-coding RNA. RefSeq lists it as uncharacterized. The transcript has 5 exons. Lineage: Eukaryota; Metazoa; Chordata; Actinopteri; Pleuronectiformes; Pleuronectidae. The record is from RefSeq and is a predicted model, not a curated record.
UGACUGUGUGGCCACCAUGGCUCCAUGGCAUGAACCACACUAACUCUGGAGUCAUUUCUUCUCCAGAGGCACAUCGAUGAAGCCAUAACUUGAACCCUCCACGAAACGAUCAUCAAAACAAAAGACCAGAUAAGCAGUUAGUCUCUACCACAAUCUGUUCCAGUCAAAAAGAAGAAGCUUUCUGAAUGUGAUAUUAACUCGCAGCUCAGUCUUUGUGUACAGUGCGGUGAGUCAGAGUCGCCGUACAGCCGCGCAGAGCGCACAGAUUGGGGACAGCAGCAGCAGCAGCAGCAGCAGCAGCAGCAGCGGAUGAAUCCAGAUGAGAAGCUUUCUGUGGGGAUGCAUGUGUUUAAUCCUGUCCUCACAUCAGCUCGUCAAACCACCUCGUAGAUUAUAGCCCAGGAUCACUUUCUUUCGCUGCUGCAACCAUAUGGAGAGCGGCGGCGGUGGCACGCACGCACAGCACGCACAGCACGCACCCGGUCCCUCAGACAGAGGAGUCGUCCUCACUGCAACUUGUUGUGAAACAGCUGCAGGGAGAACAGAGGAGAGGACAUCGGUCUCCUUUCGGUCGGACGCGUAAAAGAGGGAGACUUGGAGGUGACAGGCGUGGAGCGCGUGGUGCGUUCAGACGAUCAGUGGUGAGGAAACAGAAGCCCUGAAACAACCACUAGAUGUGGAUCAAGAAGGAGGAGUAGCCAGAUUUCGGUUCCCGGACCGGACAUUUGCCAUCUUGGUGGUGGAAUACUGGCAGAAAGAUGGGCUUGGACUCCAGCCACAGGCACAAAUAAUUUAGCCAACAAGUGAAUUCGCAGACAGACAGACUGGCGAUCGCUGCAGCAUCAGGGAGCAGCAGAUUUUCACUCGCGGGGAUUUGCAGACGGAGGUUACCUGUCAUGCUGCUUAAUACUGUGAUGGAGUGAGGAGGCAACAGGCCAGUAUUCCGUGCACCCCCCCCCCAUCCCUCUCUGUCCUCGCUGCGUGGAACAGAGCAGGUGAGAAACAUUAACAGAGGCAGCAGCAGCAGCAGCUGUGGCCCUCUGCUCCACACAUGUGAGCCAGGAUAUGAGCUAGUUCAAGCUCGCCCACUCUCAAACAUCGGUCAUUACUGUUAACACUCUCCUCUCUGAAGCAAAGAGUGUGUAGGAGAAAAAAAAAGCUGAAACGAGGUGGAAGCAGCACAAACCGUUGCUUAGAGAAAAAAGAUGUUUGAAUUCCAUGCACUUUAUCAUAAAGUAUGCUGUGAAGAGUUAUCAUUAGCUUUAGUGCAGGGGUUGGAAAACAUUUAGACUUGUGACCCCUUAAAACCAAACUCUUCCUUCUCAAACCCUCGUGUCACAGGUUGCAGAGAGUUGUACGUUUUGUUUUAAGGAGCUCAACCAAAGAGAUAUUUCAAUCAUUUUCUUUCAUUUGAAACAUCUUUGGAAGCCUGGAGAUGUCCAAUAAAACUUUCACAACUAGAAAAUUACUCAGUAGAGCUCGUAACUCCGCCAUGGUCCGACAGCCCCCUUAUGAAAAACCUUUAAAUUCACUAGAUCUGUAUUCUCACUUGAUCUGCAGAAAAUAUCAGUCUCGUAAAUAAGAAAAAAAAAAAAAAAAAGCCAUUAAUUAUUCUCUGUGAAAUAAUGGACAAUUAUAAAAAACACCCUAUUUCAGAAUGUUAAAAAAGAGUGAAUAUCUAAACUGGAUCCACACCAACAUUUAAUUUGUUCCUCCCAAGGUAAGGACCGACCCCUCCACAACAUUUCAUUGAAAUCUGUCGAGCAGUUUUUUGCAUAAUCCUACUAACUCACAAAAGAAUGCCAAAGGAAACAAUAGGUUAUAAAAGUACUUCUCAAUAACACUAUCUUCUAGCUUUCAUCAUGGGUUGACUGAAUGUCUAUGUCUGUUUGGUCUGGAGUUUUUUCAAAUGGACACCAUUAAAUGAAUUGCAUUUUAAAGCCGUUGAGGUUGAACUAGUUUCUAUAAAAUCCUCAUUAUCACGGUGCCCUUUAAAUGGCCUUCUGGUUUCAUUUGAAUAUGAAAACAUCUUGGUUGUAAAAUUUGUUUAGCAUCAUUUGAAUCCCCCCUCAGCUGGAGCCGUGAACCGGAUGACCCAGUCGUCACAUUGUGUUCCCGAGCACAAAGACGCCAGUCACAUGGGGGGAGCUGUCCCAGAGGAGAGUGGCGUGUGUGUAUGUGUGUGUAUUUGUGUUUCUGUGAAUCAUAACCGUAUUCAGCGAGGUGUGUCGAAGCGGCGUCACCUGCGGGAACAGGGGUCCUGAAGGGACUCUUGUUCUUAAAGACUGUCCUUUGGGGUGAGGUAGUAGGUUGUAUAGUUUUAGGGUCAUACCCUUCCUGUCAGAUAACUAUACAAUUUACUGUCUUUCCUGAAGUGGCUGUAAUGUCAUCAGAUGCCAGUGUUGAAGCUGUCGGAUCUCGAUCAACUCGAUGGAAUGUGCGGUAAACGCUUUUCACUGUUAAGAAGAUAACAACAUUUCAAAAUCGCAGGUUGCAUGGGCUUGUAGUUAUUGUUUCUCUCUCAUGAUUUUCAUAUUCUGUACUUCUAAGAAAAAAAUGAUUCAAAGUGUAAUCUUUCUGGUUCUGUUUAUGCUACACAAACAACAAUAAUCAACACAUGAUUUAAAAAUGAGUUAAAACUGAAUGUUGUGUAAACUUUUACAAACACCUGUUCUCAUCUGACUGUCAGCCUUUGUCCUUUUUUCAUGUUUUUGUCUAUUCAACAGUUUUUUUUGUCCAUCUGUAAUCAUCAGUCGUCAAAGUUGUGUUCUCAUAUUUUGUAUUGCCAGUGUUUCAGAAAUAAAAAUGGGAGGUUUUAUUUUCAAAAUGUAUUUAGUAUUAUAAAAUGAUGUCUCUGUUUUGUCACUCCACCAUUAUGCUCCCCAGUGUUGAGGUAAAGCAAAGCUCGCCGCCCUGUAGGAUCACUCUGAUGUCUGUACGGGGUGAGGUAGUAGGUUGUGUGGUUUCAGGGUAGUGAUUUUGCCCAAUCAGAAGAUAACUAUACAACUUACUGCCUUCCCUGAAGGGCAGCAAUACGUCACCAAACAGACAACAGGGGGCGUCAUGUUCACACAUGUCUCACAAAAGAUAAAAACUCCCAGGAUGAGUGAAGCAAACCGGGUCAAACGUCCAGGUCACGAGCUUUUACCUGGACCAGCCACAGCAGGAGAGCGGACGGCAGGUAAAGUCUGUUCAUGUGUGGAAAUUGUAGUUUUUGAUUUUCUGCUUCAAACAAUAAUAAAAGCUAAGAAAUAA